This is a non-coding RNA of Extremus antarcticus, 138 nucleotides long. NCBI's taxonomy places the organism in Eukaryota, Fungi, Ascomycota, Dothideomycetes, Mycosphaerellales, Extremaceae. The record is from the annotation of a GenBank genome assembly.
UCAGGAUUGGCUCAAUGGUAGAGCGUCCGCCUCCUAUUGUAUUGGAUUCCAGCGGAAGGUUGUGGGUGAGUCAAUAUAUGACAACACACUACACCGGCCUUAGCUAAUUUGUCACAGGUUCGAGUCCCGUACGUUGAA